This 208-nucleotide ribosomal RNA is filed under the name uncultured bacterium. RNAcentral describes it as "partial 16S ribosomal RNA". It matches the Rfam family "Bacterial small subunit ribosomal RNA", at positions 568 to 774 of the family's 1533-position model. The record is from RNAcentral.
CGUGUAGGCGGUCAAGUAAGUGGAAUGUGAAAUGCCUCGGCUUACCCGGGGACCGUGCAUCCCAAACCUGCUUGGCUUGAGUAUGGGAGAGGAUGAGGGAAUUCCUGGUGUAGCGGUGAAAUGCGUAGAUAUCAGGAGGAACACCGGUGGCGAAAGCGCUCAUCUGGCCCAAUACUGACGCUGAGGCGCAAAGCUAGGGGAGCAAACG